RNAcentral lists this ribosomal RNA (433 nucleotides) under uncultured bacterium. RNAcentral describes it as "partial 16S ribosomal RNA". It matches the Rfam family "Bacterial small subunit ribosomal RNA", at positions 29 to 507 of the family's 1533-position model. The record is from RNAcentral.
AACGAACGCUGGCGGCAUGCCUAACACAUGCAAGUCGAACGAGACCUUCGGGUCUAGUGGCGCACGGGUGCGUAACGCGUGGGAACCUGCCCUUAGGUUCGGUAUAACUCCCCGAAAGGGGUGCUAAUACCGGAUAAUGUCUUCGGACCAAAGAUUUAUCGCCUUUGGAUGGGCCCGCGCUGGAUUAGCUAGUUGGUAGGGUAAAAGCCUACCAAGGCGACGAUCCAUAGCUGGUCUGAGAGGAUGAUCAGCCACACUGGGACUGAGACACGGCCCAGACUCCUACGGGAGGCAGCAGUGGGGAAUAUUGGACAAUGGGCGAAAGCCUGAUCCAGCAAUGCCGCGUGAGUGAUGAAGGCCUUAGGGUUGUAAAGCUCUUUUACCCGGGAUGAUAAUGACAGUACCGGGAGAAUAAGCGCCGGCUAACUCCGUG